UCGAGCGAACAGACGAGGAGCUUGCUCCUCUGACGUUAGCGGCGGACGGGUGAGUAACACGUGGAUAACCUACCUAUAAGACUGGGAUAACUUCGGGAAACCGGAGCUAAUACCGGAUAAUAUAUUGAACCGCAUGGUUCAAUAGUGAAAGACGGUUUUGCUGUCACUUAUAGAUGGAUCCGCGCCGCAUUAGCUAGUUGGUAAGGUAACGGCUUACCAAGGCAACGAUGCGUAGCCGACCUGAGAGGGUGAUCGGCCACACUGGAACUGAGACACGGUCCAGACUCCUACGGGAGGCAGCAGUAGGGAAUCUUCCGCAAUGGGCGAAAGCCUGACGGAGCAACGCCGCGUGAGUGAUGAAGGUCUUCGGAUCGUAAAACUCUGUUAUUAGGGAAGAACAAAUGUGUAAGUAACUAUGCACGUCUUGACGGUACCUAAUCAGAAAGCCACGGCUAACUACGUGCCAGCAGCCGCGGUAAUACGUAGGUGGCAAGCGUUAUCCGGAAUUAUUGGGCGUAAAGCGCGCGUAGGCGGUUUUUUAAGUCUGAUGUGAAAGCCCACGGCUCAACCGUGGAGGGUCAUUGGAAACUGGAAAACUUGAGUGCAGAAGAGGAAAGUGGAAUUCCAUGUGUAGCGGUGAAAUGCGCAGAGAUAUGGAGGAACACCAGUGGCGAAGGCGACUUUCUGGUCUGUAACUGACGCUGAUGUGCGAAAGCGUGGGGAUCAAACAGGAUUAGAUACCCUGGUAGUCCACGCCGUAAACGAUGAGUGCUAAGUGUUAGGGGGUUUCCGCCCCUUAGUGCUGCAGCUA
RNAcentral lists this ribosomal RNA (811 nucleotides) under uncultured Staphylococcus sp. RNAcentral's name for it is "SSU rRNA". It matches the Rfam family "Bacterial small subunit ribosomal RNA", at positions 62 to 854 of the family's 1533-position model. Lineage: Bacteria; Bacillati; Bacillota; Bacilli; Caryophanales; Staphylococcaceae. The record is from RNAcentral.